GUCUCUGUAGCGCAAUGGAUAGUGCGUUGGACUUCUAAUCCAAAGGUCGUGGGUUCAAGUCCCACAUGGGAUG
This 73-nucleotide transfer RNA is filed under the name Trichonephila inaurata madagascariensis. It matches the Rfam family "tRNA". From Rfam's summary of the family: Transfer RNA (tRNA) molecules are approximately 80 nucleotides in length. Their secondary structure includes four short double-helical elements and three loops (D, anti-codon, and T loops). Lineage: Eukaryota; Metazoa; Arthropoda; Arachnida; Araneae; Nephilidae. The record is from Rfam by way of RNAcentral.